This 383-nucleotide ribosomal RNA is filed under the name uncultured eukaryote. RNAcentral describes it as "partial 18S ribosomal RNA". It matches the Rfam family "Eukaryotic small subunit ribosomal RNA", at positions 592 to 976 of the family's 1831-position model. The record is from RNAcentral.
CAAUAGCGUAUAUUAAAGUUGUUGCAGUUAAAAAGCUCGUAGUUGGAUUUCUGGUGGGAGCGAUCGGUCUGGCGCUUAGCGCGAGUACUUGCAUCGUCUCCGGCCAUCCUUGGGGAGAGUCUGUCUGGCAUUAGGUUGUCGGGCAGAGGAUCCUCAUCGUUUACUGUGAAAAAAUUAGAGUGUUCAAUGCAGGCUUAUGCCGUUGAAUAUAUUAGCAUGGAAUAAUAAGAUAGGACUUUGGUACUAUUUUGUUGGUUUGCGCACCAAAGUAAUGAUUAAUAGGGACAGUUGGGGGUAUUCGUAUUCCGUUGUCAGAGGUGAAAUUCUUGGAUUUACGGAAGACGAACUACUGCGAAAGCAUUUACCAAGGAUGUUUUCAUUAA